UACGUAGGGUGCGAGCGUUGUCCGGAAUUAUUGGGCGUAAAGAGCUCGUAGGCGGUCUGUCGCGUCUGCUGUGAAAUCCCGAGGCUCAACCUCGGGCUUGCAGUGGGUACGGGCAGGCUAGAGUGCGGUAGGGGAGAAUGGAACUCCUGGUGUAGCGGUGGAAUGCGCAGAUAUCAGGAAGAACACCCGUGGCAAAGGCGGCUCUCUGGGACGGUACUGACGCUGAGACGCGAAAGCGUGGGGAGCGAACAGG
This 253-nucleotide ribosomal RNA is filed under the name uncultured bacterium. RNAcentral describes it as "partial 16S ribosomal RNA". It matches the Rfam family "Bacterial small subunit ribosomal RNA", at positions 524 to 776 of the family's 1533-position model. The record is from RNAcentral.